Molecule: ribosomal RNA, 197 nt
Filed under: Salmonella enterica subsp. enterica serovar Typhimurium
Lineage: Bacteria; Pseudomonadati; Pseudomonadota; Gammaproteobacteria; Enterobacterales; Enterobacteriaceae
Description: partial 23S ribosomal RNA
Rfam family: Bacterial large subunit ribosomal RNA
Source: RNAcentral
GGUUAAGUUAGAAAGGGCGCACGGUGGAUGCCUUGGCACUAGGAGCCGAUGAAGGACGGGACGAACACCGAUAUGCUUCGGGGAGCUGUAAGCAAGCUUUGAUCCGGAGAUUUCCGAAUGGGGAAACCCACUGCUCGUAAUGGAGCAGUAUCCAUAUCUGAAUUCAUAGGAUAUGUGAAGGCAGACCCGGGGAACUG